AGAACGAACGCUGGUAGCGUGGAUUAGGCAUGCAAGUCGAACGGGAUCACCUGAUUAGUAAUAACCGGGUGUGAGAGUGGCGGAUUGGGGAGGAACACGUGAGCAACCUGCCCUUGAGUUGGGGAAAACCGUUGGAAACGACGGCUAAUACCGGAUGUGGCGCCUGGCGACAUCGCUGGAGCGCUAAAGGGGGCCGCAAGGCUCUCGCUCGAGGAGGGGCUCGCGCACCAUCAGCUUGUUGGCGGGGUAACGGCCCACCAAGGCCUACGGUUAGCUGGUCUGAGAGGAUGACCAGCCCCACUGGGACUGAGAUACUGCCCAGACUCCUACGGGAGGCUGCAGUCGAGGAUCAUUUGCAAUGGGCGAAAGCCUGACAAUGCGACGCUGCGUGGAGGAUGAAGGCCUUCGGGUUGUAAACUCCUGUCAUGGGGGAACAGGCGAGGGGAGCUAAUACCUCCCUUAGUUGAGUGUACCCCAAGAGGAAGGGACGGCUAACUCUGUGCCAGCCGCCGC
This 513-nucleotide ribosomal RNA is filed under the name uncultured bacterium. RNAcentral describes it as "bacterial SSU rRNA". It matches the Rfam family "Bacterial small subunit ribosomal RNA", at positions 26 to 518 of the family's 1533-position model. The record is from RNAcentral.